This 438-nucleotide ribosomal RNA is filed under the name uncultured bacterium. RNAcentral describes it as "partial 16S ribosomal RNA". It matches the Rfam family "Bacterial small subunit ribosomal RNA", at positions 338 to 795 of the family's 1533-position model. The record is from RNAcentral.
CCUACGGGAGGCAGCAGUGGGGAAUAUUGCACAUGGGCGAAAGCCUUAUGCAACAACGCCGCGUGAGCGAUGAAGGCCUUCGCGUCGUAAAGCCCUGUCCCCAAGGAAGAUAAUGACGGUACUUGGGGAGGAAGCCCCGGCUAACUACGUGCCAGCAGCCGCGGUACUACGUAGGGGGCUAGCUUUAUCCGGAAUUACUGGGCGUAAAGGGUGCGGAGGUGGUUUCUUAAGUCAGAGGUGAAAGGCUACGGCUCAACCGUAGUAAGCCUUUGAAACUGGGAAACUUGAGUGCAGGAGAGGGGAGUGGAAUUCCUGGUGUAGCGGUGAAAUGCGUAGAGAUUAGGAGGAACACCAGUGGCGAAGGCGGCUCUCUGGACUGUAACUGACACUGAGGCACGAAAGCGUGGGGAGCAAACAGGAUUAGAUACCCUUGUAGUC